CGAAAGAUGACGACAAGGACUAGUAGUCAACGAACACGUUUUCAGAGAGUUAACGGGUGGUGGAAGUUAACCGUGGAAUUUGAUGAACUCGCCUUGGAAUUGUAAAGAGGAACAGAGUAUCACAAUAUCUCAUUACUCUUUAACGAAUAACCUACGUUACAGGUCAAAGAGAGCGGCUAUUUGCUUUUUCACCGCUAACGUGGGUGGUACCGCGGGAAGGAUUUCAACCUCUCGUCCCUGUU
Molecule: non-coding RNA, 242 nt
Filed under: Evansella cellulosilytica
Lineage: Bacteria; Bacillati; Bacillota; Bacilli; Caryophanales; Bacillaceae
Description: Bacillus cellulosilyticus T-box sequence
Rfam family: T-box leader
About the family: Uncharged tRNA acts as the effector for transcription antitermination of genes in the T-box leader family.
Source: RNAcentral